Rattus norvegicus (Norway rat) is the source of this 57-nucleotide non-coding RNA. Lineage: Eukaryota; Metazoa; Chordata; Mammalia; Rodentia; Muridae. The record is from Rfam.
UGGCUCAGUGGUAGAGCGCUUGCCUAGCAAGCGCAAGGCCCUGGGUUCGAUCCCCAG